GGGGAAGGGUAGCUUGCUACCUGACCUAGCGGCGGACGGGUGAGUAAUGCUUAGGAAUCUGCCUAUUAGUGGGGGACAACAUUCCGAAAGGAAUGCUAAUACCGCAUACGCCCUACGGGGGAAAGCAGGGGAUCUUCGGACCUUGCGCUAAUAGAUGAGCCUAAGUCAGAUUAGCUAGUUGGUGGGGUAAAGGCCUACCAAGGCGACGAUCUGUAGCGGGUCUGAGAGGAUGAUCCGCCACACUGGGACUGAGACACGGCCCAGACUCCUACGGGAGGCAGCAGUGGGGAAUAUUGGACAAUGGGCGAAAGCCUGAUCCAGCCAUGCCGCGUGUGUGAAGAAGGCCUUUUGGUUGUAAAGCACUUUAAGCGAGGAGGAGGCUACUGAGAUUAAUACUCUUGGAUAGUGGACGUUACUCGCAGAAUAAGCACCGGCUAACUCUGUGCCAGCAGCCGCGGUAAUACAGAGGGUGCGAGCGUUAAUCGGAUUUCUGGGCGUAA
RNAcentral lists this ribosomal RNA (500 nucleotides) under uncultured bacterium. RNAcentral describes it as "bacterial SSU rRNA". It matches the Rfam family "Bacterial small subunit ribosomal RNA", at positions 68 to 563 of the family's 1533-position model. The record is from RNAcentral.